UUCCUGUAAUCAAAGAACAACACUGAAUGUGAAACAUUCCUGUAAUCAAAGAACAACACUGAAUGUGACACAUUCCUGUAAUCAAAGCACAUGACUAUGUAAUACAUGUAAUCAAAGAACAACACUGAAUGUGAAACAUUCCUGUAAUCAAAGCACUGAAUGUGAAGCAUACAUGUAAUCUAAACAACACUGAAUGUGAAGCAUACAUGUAAUCUAAACAACACUGAAUGUGAAACAAACCUGUAAUCAAAGCACAUCACUGAAUUUGAAGUAUACCUGUAAUCUUAUCAACAUUGAAUGUGAAACAUACUUGUUUUCAAAGCACAACACUGAAUGUGAAGCAUACCUG
RNAcentral lists this long non-coding RNA (349 nucleotides) under Mytilus galloprovincialis (Mediterranean mussel). Lineage: Eukaryota; Metazoa; Mollusca; Bivalvia; Mytilida; Mytilidae. The record is from RNAcentral.